Long non-coding RNA from Salvia miltiorrhiza (redroot sage), 782 nucleotides. RefSeq lists it as uncharacterized. The record is from RefSeq and is a predicted model, not a curated record. NCBI's taxonomy places the organism in Eukaryota, Viridiplantae, Streptophyta, Magnoliopsida, Lamiales, Lamiaceae. The transcript has 2 exons.
CCGAUUUAACAAAUUAAUAACUAGUUAGCAGCUAAUAAUUCUUUAUACAUAACUAUUAGCCUCGAAUUAAAAUAUAAUAGUUCAAUAAAGUAAUCUAAUGAUCCAAUUUAAUUAAAUUAGAAUGUAUUUUCAAGGUCCAAUAGAAACUUUAUUUAAUAAGCCUAUUAAGUAAAUAGUAAUCUCAUCACUUGCCCAAGUAUCACUAAGCCCAAUUAGAUUAAAUAAAUAAAACAAUCUAGAAUUUUCUUAAAAAAGAGCAGAUUAAUCUCUGUCUAUCAUUUUCUCUCUUUCUCUGCUCUCUACCGUCCCUCUCUCUCCCUUCGCCCCUCUCUGUCGGCUCCCUUCUUCCCCAUCUCACCGGGACGUUACUGGUUCUCGCCGUCUCCGGCGCAGCGAGGCAGGUCCCUGUUCUUCCCCCUUCUUCCUUUCUCUUCUCUUCCCCCAAUUUCCCAGGCUACCACUACUUAGGGUUUUGAAGUUUCCUCUUUUAAAUCUGCUCCUCCGGUGAACUCCACCGCCACCGCCGUCGUUCCCGUCGCGCGGCCGCCCCACCAUCUCAGGAAUCGGUGAUUCAAGAUGGUUUGAGAUGGUUUCAUCGGCAGUUCAUCUACAGCCCAAGACUCCCUUUUAAAGACUCAGCCUUUUAUUAUUGAAUUAACUGUUGUAACUAAAUGUAUGCUGUAAGUGUUAAAGAAAAUUGAUGUUAUCUCUACUAUUCUUGAUUACUAUCUAUGAGUAAUUACCGAGUUAUAGGAAGAAUACUACCUGCUUGCGUGUUGUGA